AGCUUUGUGCAGUGGCAGUACCGUGGCCAAUGAGGUUUAUCUGAGGUGCGAUUAUUGCUAAUUAAAAGGGGACAUGAGACCUGCAUUAUUCAAAAAUGUCAAUGUCAUAAAACAAAGGGUGAGCAACUUUUCUAAGAUAAAAAGACAC
This is a small nuclear RNA of Lutra lutra (Eurasian river otter), 148 nucleotides long. RefSeq annotates it as U4 spliceosomal RNA. NCBI's taxonomy places the organism in Eukaryota, Metazoa, Chordata, Mammalia, Carnivora, Mustelidae. The record is from RefSeq and is a predicted model, not a curated record. The transcript has a single exon.